Xenopus tropicalis (tropical clawed frog) is the source of this 4215-nucleotide RNA transcript. It is a transcript of the gene named nucleobindin 1 like, with no coding region annotated. The transcript is spliced from 10 exons. The record is from RefSeq and is a predicted model, not a curated record. NCBI's taxonomy places the organism in Eukaryota, Metazoa, Chordata, Amphibia, Anura, Pipidae.
CUCCCUGCACACGGAAGGCUGUGUCAAAUGAAAGUGAAAGUAGAUGCACAGAGCUGGGUGUGAGUGGGGGGAGGCAGAUCGGUGACACUCGGGCCCCAUGGCCCCCCCAACAAUGCAGAGGAGGCCCCGAUACAGCCGGACACAUCCCUUAAUCUUGUGGGUUCUGCUGAUCUCUCUCUCACUGCCGGGAACAGAUUCUCUGGGGGUUGAAACAAGUGACGUUCCCAUUAAAUCCCUGAGGAACCAGGAAGUAUUUAUCCCAUGUACAGUAACGGAUUAUGGUGCUGGGGAUCUGGAUCCAAAGCUUCUCUCUGUUCAGUGGACAAAGACAACCUUGGGUGGAACCAAAGAACAAGUUUAUAUUUUUUCAUCUGGGACUCCCACCCCCACCCGGCCCGGAUCCUACAUAUCAGACCGGGACCUUAUAACCGGCAAUGUGGGGCUUCACUUACCCCGGGUUCAGUUCACAGAUGAAGGAGAAUAUACCUGCACUGUCAUUUAUACCCCUAAUAAAGCCGUGGGAAGUCUGUUCUGCAGGUAGCGGUGCAACCAACAGGCAGUUUGCAGUCUGUUCCAAGUAGCGUCCUGCUUGGAACAGAGAAGACAGUUCAAUGCGCAGUCGGUGGGUUUUACCCCAAAGAUAUAACAAUUCAAUGGAUGAAAUGGCUCAGUGAGACCAACUGCAUCUCGCUGGAUAAGGGAAGCUGCACGGGGGAAACGUCUGGGAAUGGGGACGGGACAUUCAACGUCACAAGUCAGCUCUCCAUAAAGCCUUCCCUGGAGGAUGAUGGGAGAAGGUAUUAUUGUAUCAUUAAGCACCGGUCCCUGGAUACAGAACUGAAAUUGGAUUUCACUCUCUCAGUAACAGAGCCCCCCCCUGAAGAUAAGACGACUGCCCCAGUUGUGAUUACAGUAUGCGUUUUACUAAUAACUCUAGGUCUCUUCUACUUUCUCUACUGGAAAUUCCUUAAGAAAGAACCCCCCAAACUCUCUCCCAUUACCGGAGCGGAACAUUUGGUGCAUAUGAACGAGGCGACUCUCUCCUGCCCGAUCUCUGGUUUCCGACCCAAACCCAUCAGAAUUACAUUGUGGUUGCAAAGAAAAGGGGGAGAAGUGAUGGAAAUUGACUCCUGGGAUUCUGAGGCCCAAACUGGUUCCGCUGCCCCAGUGGCGCAUCACAGAGAUGAGCAGCGUGUGAUUAUUGCGCCAGAGAGAGAGGGGUUAAUGGGAAAUGGGAAUGUGCAGAAUCUGCCCCUGGCACAGAGGGCGCUGCGAGUGGAAAUGGUUCCUGUAAUAACAACAAGUAAAUCUCAGCGACUUUCCAACUGUCAGUGCACAAUCCGUAUAACCCCCGACAUAGAGGAAGAUGAUGGGGCAGAACUGACUGUGAGGGUCACUCACUCUGCCCUGAGGGGCCCCAUCUCUAAGUCCUGUUGGCUGGAGGUCAGGGGAGUUAAACCCAAACUAUCAAAGAUCGUAUUCCCGCUCCGUAUCCUCCAUGAAGAACCCGUGACUCUGACCUGCCCCAUCAAUGGGUUCAAGCCAAAGCCGCUCUCUGUUACUUGGCUGAAAGUGGAUCCAAUGGGUCGGGAAACAGAACUUCUGUGCUGGGAUCGGGGUUCAACCGACAUCCGUGAUCCCCAAUAUUCCCAUCAGCUGGCGGAGAAUGAGAGAGAACAUAGAGAAGAAGAAGACAACGAUCACAUUAACUAUUUCCUAAGCAACGUGACCCUGAAGCCCACAGUGAGGGGGGAUCACGGGGCUCAGUACGUCUGUAGGACUCACCAUUACGCCACAGGGGAAAGGGCAGAGAAACGUAUGGAAAUGCAGGUUUUAGCUGUCCCAGAGUUGGGCCCCAUACAGUCAGCCCCAGAGAUUCUAUACGUUGGGGAAGAGAUGACGUUAUCCUGCAGAAUCCAUUCCUCCCACCCAGAACCCCGGGGAGUUCGCUGGUAUAAGGAGGGUGAGCGCUUGGGAUCACACAAUGACCCAAUACUCCCUAAUGCCAGCGGGUUGUUCCAUGGUACCAGCCGUGCCACAUACAGGCCCAGUGUGAGGGACAUUGGGAAGAGCUUCUGGUGUGAGGUCUCUCAUGAGAGUCUCCAACAUCCUAAAUGUGUUUCCUGGGAACUGAAACAUCUGAUAAGUGAGCCGAGGGUAAGUGAUAUAGAGUGUCACCCUGAGGCCCCUGAGUGCAACCAACCUGCAACCUUAUCCUGCGCUAUAGAGAAUUAUUAUCCUAAAGUCCUCACCAUCCAAUGGUAUCGGGGGCUGGAACCCAUCUCUCCUCAUAAUGAUCCAGCAGCCGCCAAGGAAGACCCGGAAUCAGGACUUUUCUCCAGAACCUCAGAAAUACAGAUCAUUCCCACUAUUACUGACCAUGGGACAGAAUUCUACUUGGAAAUAACUCACGGCACAAAGAUCACCAAGAAGACGAUCUGUAUGAGCCUAAAAGGGCUGCCGGUGGUUAAAGAGAUAACUUGCAAUAAGUACCCCCCAAAAUAUGGAGAAGCCCUAACCCUAAGCUGCGAGGUGAUUGGAUGCAGCGCCCGAGACAUCACAGCGGAAUGGCGAGAGGGCAAUAAUCCCAUAAAGAGAGAAAUGGAAGCAAAGACCCAAAUAGAUAGAGAUUCGGUCACAUUCCUCCUCACACUGACGCCCACAGCAGAGCAUCAUGGGAAAUUAUUCACCUGCCUGAUAAAGCACAAGGACCUACCCCAGCCCAUUAGGAAGAUUAUCUGCCUGAAGCUGCUGGCUGAAGCAGUUGGAGAAAAGAAGGAACUAGAACCCCCAGUGGAUACAGCAGAGGAGCCCCAAGUGGGGGAGAUUGAGUGUGUGACCCCCCCCAGCCCCAGGGAGGGAGAGGCCGUUACCCUUCAGUGCAUCAUUAGAGGGCAAGAUGUGCAACAUGGAGACUUCUCCUGGAGUGACGGGAUGUUCCCCAUUGAUGAAAGCCAAAUAGACAACUCCAACCUCCCUGAUGGCUCCGGCUGUAUCUCCAGGGUCACCUUCACUCCUGAUGAUGGGCAAAUCAGCUUUGAGGCCACGUUUAACAUAGUAACCACGGAGAGAACCUACCAACUCCCAUGGGUGUGAGACUUGUUAUGGGCUACUGGCACCUUCCAGUAUCUCUAUGGCACAAAGUGCUGCAAUGAAACAAACUGUUCCUUUGGGAGAACAGAUGGUGCAAGUACAAUGUACAGGACUGCAGUUCCAUGAACCUGUUUGUGGGAAUGGGGGUGACUAACAGAUUUUGCACCUAAACAGACACCUCAAAAGCCCAAUUUUUACACCAAAUAUAACAGGGCUGCAGCAUUGAGUGCGUAAUACAUAAACACUGGAAUGUGUUUCUUUAUUACGCACUCAAUGCUGCAGCCGAUCCCCAACCCCAACUUCUAAAGCAGCGAUCCCCAACCCCAACUUCUAAAGCAGUGAUCCCCAACCCCAACUUCUAAAGCAGCGAUCCCCAACCCCAACUUCUAAAGCAGCGAUGCCCAACUUCUAAAGCAGCGAUCCCCAACUUCUAAAGCAGCGAUCCCCAACCCCAACUUCUAAAGCAGCGAUCCCCAACCCCAACUUCUAAAGCAGCGAUCCCCAACCCCAACUUCUAAAGCAGCGAUCCCCAACCCCAACUUCUAAAGCAGCGAUGCCCAACUUCUAAAGCAGCGAUCCCCAACUUCUAAAGCAGCGAUCCCCAACCCCAACUUCUAAAGCAGCGAUCCCCAACCCCAACUUCUAAAGCAGCGAUCCCCAACCCCAACUUCUAAAGCAGCGAUCCCCAACCCCAACUUCUAAAGCAAUAAUCCCCAACCCCAACUUCUAAAGCAGCGAUCCCCAACCCCAACUUCUAAAGCAGCGAUCCCCAACCCCAACUUCUAAAGCAGCGAUCCCCAACCCCAACUUCUAAAGCAGCGAUGCCCAACUUCUAAAGCAGCGAUGCCCAACUUCUAAAGCAGCGAUCCCCAACUUCUAAAGCAGCGAUCCCCAACCCCAACUUCUAAAGCAGCGAUCCCCAACCCCAACUUCUAAAGCAGCGAUCCCCAACCCCAACUUCUAAAGCAGCGAUCCCCAACCCCAACUUCUAAAGCAAUAAUCCCCAACCCCAACUUCUAAAGCAGCGAUCCCCAACCCCAACUUCUAAAGCAGCGAUCCCCAACCCCAACUUCUAAAGCAGCGAUCCCCAACUUCUAAAGCAAUGAUCCCCAACCCCAACUU